GUUUGAACCGCAUGGUUCAAACAUAAAAAGGUGGCUUCGGCUACCACUUACAGAUGGACCCGCGGCGCAUCAGCUAGUUGGUGAGGUAACGGCUCACCAAGGCAACGAUGCGUAGCCGACUGAGAGGGUGAUCGGCCACACUGGGACUGAGACACGGCCCAGACUCCUACGGGAGGCAGCAGUAGGGAAUCUUCCGCAAUGGACGAAAGUCUGACGGAGCAACGCCGCGUGAGUGAUGAAGGUUUUCGGAUCGUAAAGCUCUGUUGUUAGGGAAGAACAAGUACCGUUCGAAUAGGGCGGUACCUUGACGGUACCUAACCAGAAAGCCACGGCUAACUACGUGCCAGCAGCCGCGGUAAUACGUAGGUGGCAAGCGUUGUCCGGAAUUAUUGGGCGUAAAGGGCUCGCAGGCGGUUUCUUAAGUCUGAUGUGAAAGCCCCCGGCUCAACCGGGGAGGGUCAUUGGAAACUGGGGAACUUGAGUGCAGAAGAGGAGAGUGGAAUUCCACGUGUAGCGGUGAAAUGCGUAGAGAUGUGGAGGAACACCAGUGGCGAAGGCGACUCUCUGGUCUGUAACUGACGCUGAGGAGCGAAAGCGUGGGGAGCGAACAGGAUUAGAUACCCUGGUAGUCCACGCCGUAAACGAUGAGUGCUAAGUGUUAGGGGGUUUCCGCCCCUUAGUGCUGCAGCUAACGCAUUAAGCACUCCGCCUGGGGAGUACGGUCGCAAGACUGAAACUCAAAGGAAUUGACGGGGGCCCGCACAAGCGGUGGAGCAUGUGGUUUAAUUCGAAGCAACGCGAAGAACCUUACCAGGUCUUGACAUCCUCUGACAAUCCUAGAGAUAGGACGUCCCCUUCGGGGGCAGAGUGACAGGUGGUGCAUGGUUGUCGUCAGCUCGUGUCGUGAGAUGUUGGGUUAAGUCCCGCAACGAGCGCAACCCUUGAUCUUAGUUGCCAGCAUUCAGUUGGGCACUCUAAGGUGACUGCCGGUGACAAACCGGAGGAAGGUGGGGAUGACGUCAAAUCAUCAUGCCCCUUAUGACCUGGGCUACACACGUGCUACAAUGGACAGAACAAAGGGCAGCGAAACCGCGAGGUUAAGCCAAUCCCACAAAUCUGUUCUCAGUUCGGAUCGCAGUCUGCAACUCGACUGCGUGAAGCUGGAAUCGCUA
RNAcentral lists this ribosomal RNA (1172 nucleotides) under Bacillus sp. (in: firmicutes). RNAcentral describes it as "bacterial SSU rRNA". It matches the Rfam family "Bacterial small subunit ribosomal RNA", at positions 179 to 1337 of the family's 1533-position model. The record is from RNAcentral. Lineage: Bacteria; Bacillati; Bacillota; Bacilli; Caryophanales; Bacillaceae.